UGGGGAAUUUUGGACAAUGGGCGAAAGCCUGAUCCAGCAAUGCCGCGUGUGUGAAGAAGGCCUUCGGGUUGUAAAGCACUUUUGUCCGGAAAGAAAUCCUUGGCUCUAAUACAGUCGGGGGAUGACGGUACCGGAAGAAUAAGCACCGGCUAACUACGUGCCAGCAGCCGCGGUAAUACGUAGGGUGCAAGCGUUAAUCGGAAUUACUGGGCGUAAAGCGUGCGCAGGCGGUUUGCUAAGACCGAUGUGAAAUCCCCGGGCUCAACCUGGGAACUGCAUUGGUGACUGGCAGGCUAGAGUAUGGCAGAGGGGGGUAGAAUUCCACGUGUAGCAGUGAAAUGCGUAGAGAUGUGGAGGAAUACCGAUGGCGAAGGCAGCCCCCUGGGCCAAUACUGACGCUCAUGCACGAAAGCGUGGGGAGCAAAACAGGAUUAGAUACCCUGGUAGUCCACGCCCUAAAACGAUGUCAACUAGUUGUUGGGGAUUCAUUUCCUUAGUAACGUAGCUAACGCGUGAAGUUGACCGCCUGGGGAGUACGGUCGCAAGAUUAAAACUUAAAUGAAUUGACGGGGUCAUAGCUGUUUCC
RNAcentral lists this ribosomal RNA (586 nucleotides) under uncultured bacterium. RNAcentral describes it as "partial 16S ribosomal RNA". It matches the Rfam family "Bacterial small subunit ribosomal RNA", at positions 355 to 937 of the family's 1533-position model. The record is from RNAcentral.